GACCAGACUCCUACGGGAGGCAGCAGUGAGGAAUAUUGGUCAAUGGGCGCGAGCCUGAACCAGCCAAGUCGCGUGAGGGAAGACGGUCCUAUGGAUUGUAAACCUCUUUUGUCGGGGAGCAAAAGACGCCACGCGUGGCGUUCCGAGAGUACCCGAAGAAAAAGCAUCGGCUAACUCCGUGCCAGCAGCCGCGGUAAUACGGAGGAUGCGAGCGUUAUCCGGAUUUAUUGGGUUUAAAGGGUGCGUAGGCGGACUGUUAGGUCAGGGGUAAAAGCCGGGGGCCCAACCCGGGCGAGCCGUUGAAACUGGCUGUCUUGAGAUGUCGAGAGGUAUGCGGAAUGCGCAGUGUAGCGGUGAAAUGCUUAGAUAUUGCGCAGAACUCCGAUUGCGAAGGCAGCAUACCGGCGCUCAACUGACGCUCAUGCACGAAAGUGUGGGUAUCGAACAGGAUUAGAUACCCGGGUAC
Molecule: ribosomal RNA, 466 nt
Filed under: uncultured bacterium
Lineage: Bacteria
Description: bacterial SSU rRNA
Rfam family: Bacterial small subunit ribosomal RNA
Source: RNAcentral